ACGUAGGUGGCGAGCGUUGUCCGGAAUUAUUGGGCGUAAAGCGCGCGUAGGCGGGAUAUUAAGUCUAUUCUAAAAGUGCGGGGCUCAACCCCGUGAGGGGAUGGAAACUAAUAUUCUUGAGUACCGGAGAGGAAAGCGGAAUUCCCAGUGUAGCGGUGAAAUGCGUAGAUAUUGGGAGGAACACCAGUGGCGAAGGCGGCUUUCUGGACGGUGUCUGACGCUGAGGCGCGAAAGCCAGGGGAGCGAACGG
Molecule: ribosomal RNA, 250 nt
Filed under: uncultured prokaryote
Description: partial 16S rRNA
Rfam family: Bacterial small subunit ribosomal RNA
Source: RNAcentral